Molecule: ribosomal RNA, 497 nt
Filed under: uncultured bacterium
Lineage: Bacteria
Description: partial 16S ribosomal RNA
Rfam family: Bacterial small subunit ribosomal RNA
Source: RNAcentral
GAUGAACGCUGGCGGCGUGCCUAAUACAUGCAAGUCGAGCGAACAGACGAGGAGCUUGCUCCUUUGACGUUAGCGGCGGACGGGUGAGUAACACGUAGGUAACCUACCUAUAAGACUGGGAUAACUUCGGGAAACCGGAGCUAAUACCGGAUAAUAUUUCGAAGCGCAUGGUUCGAUAGUGAAAGAUGGCUUUGCUAUCACUUAUAGAUGGACCUGCGCCGUAUUAGCUAGUUGGUAAGGUAACGGCUUACCAAGGCAACGAUACGUAGCCGACCUGAGAGGGUGAUCGGCCACACUGGAACUGAGACACGGUCCAGACUCCUACGGGAGGCAGCAGUAGGGAAUCGUCCGCAAUGGGCGAAAGCCUGACGGAGCAACGCCGCGUGAGUGAUGAAGGUCUUCGGAUCGUAAAACUCUGUUAUUAGGGAAGAACAAACGUGUAAGUAACUGUGCACGUCUUGACGGUACCUAAUCAGAAAGCCACGGCUAACUACGUG